This 96-nucleotide transfer RNA is filed under the name Planctomycetaceae bacterium. RNAcentral describes it as "tRNA-Sec". It matches the Rfam family "Selenocysteine transfer RNA". Lineage: Bacteria; Pseudomonadati; Planctomycetota; Planctomycetia; Planctomycetales; Planctomycetaceae. The record is from RNAcentral. RNAcentral also lists the same sequence under 1 other name.
GGAGGUGAGCGGUGCCUGGUGGUGCCCCUGGUCUUCAAAACCAGUGUGGGGCUCGCAAGAUUCCCGGGUGGGUUCGAUUCCCAUUCACCUCCGCCA